GGCUGCCCCCUUGGCUGGCUCUGACCUGGGGCCCAAGUCCCCAGGCUCUAAAGCUGCAACUCAGCCAGGCCUGCGGCUUCCCCUCCCCGUGGACUUGGAGGCAGGGACCAGCUCAGUCCGGGAGAGAGGCCUCUCUGGGCUGCCUGCACGCACGCAAUCGCUCUGGAGCGUCUGCUGCCUUAUCUUCCAGCUGUAGACUCUGGAGCCAGAUGCCUGGGGUCAAACCCCAAGGCCCUGCUUACCAGUCACAAGAUCACAGGAAAGUCACUUCCGCUUUCUGGGCCUUACUUGGUGUUCUCAUCUGUAAAAUGGGGAAGUGACAGCUCCUUCCUCAUGGUGUGGCCAUGAGGAUUAACACUCAGAACGGGGGCUGGCAGUGAAAACGCACCACGUGGCAUCAGCUGUCGUCAUCUGCACCACCGUCAUCGUCCUCACGGUCACCUCCAGUACCCUGGACGGUGGGUGCAGCCCUUUGGGGCUCUGGAGUAACUUUAGAGGACACGAAGACGUAUCUGGCUUCAAGGACGUUGGUUUCGUCUUUCCUCGCGCUCUCCGGCAGCAGGAGUAUGCGAGGCGCUGACAGCUGCUGCCUGCUGAGGGCUCGCUGCGUGCCAGGCACCGCGCAAGGACUGCGCCGGCUCCGUCCUGUGCAGGACGCGCUGGUAUCACUGUUCCUGUACCUCACACCGGAAACCAAGCCACAGAGGGGCGAAGUAGCCCGCUUCCCAAGUGCACCAGUAGGGCUCAGCGGUGCAGGCAAUGAGGCCGAGCCUGGCCAAUUUACGAGGAAGAGGAAUCUACUGGAAGGAUGUCGGGUACUCAUGGAAUCCUCGGGAAGACUGGAGACCAGGCUCAGAAACACAGGAGCUGGUCCCUAACGGGCACCUUGCAACCCAAAUUCCAUUACAGCACCUGCCUCUGGAGAAGCAGCUGUGACAGCGAGGAUGUGGAUACAGAGCAGCCGGAACCGUCAGUUAUUGCUGUCUGGAUCGGAACUUGACGCCACUUCAGAAACCUGUCUGGCGGCGUCUGCUCAAGCCCAAGCUGCAGAUCCCCUGCGACCCAGCAAAUUCUCUUCUCGGCAGAUGCCCCCCGAAAUCCUUGCCCUGCCCACAGAAGCCGUGUUCACGGAAGCCUUACUCAUCGCAGCCCAAACCGGCAACCUUCCAAAUGGCCGCCAACAGGAGGAUGGAUAAGCACAUGACAGGAAGUUCGUACAACGCAAUAGCUCACAGCUGCUGCUAAACACAAGGCUUGGGACUCCUGCCUCUCCAUUUCUUCCUCUGCAUCCUGGGAGGAGGGGGUGACCGUCAUGCUAGUUCCAUCUGCUGAGAGACCUCGAAAUCUGUUUCUGUCCUUGGUUUUUGAAAAGUGAGGACAACUGUGAUUCCUUGCAGAGGACCGGCAGGUUUGGAGCUCGGAGGACCUCGAAUAGCCAAGUUGGAAGAGGCACAGCGGGUGAAGAACCUGAGCCCCAAGAUGGCAAGUGAGUGGCCCAGGUCACCCAGUGAGUGGUGGACCAGAACCUGCUCAAAACCGUGAUUUUAACUGUCCCCAACAGCUGGUCAUGCGAUGGCUUCGUCCUCCUCCUUCAAAGACCCACCUCCCUGCGGACUGGAACCCCUAGUGCAGCUCCUGUUGGAACAGACAUUGAGCACUGGCCUCCUUUCUUGUCUGAGGGUCGCCAAAGAUGCAAACGAGAACCACAUUCAAGAAUUCCUCCACCCACAGUCUGGAUGGGAACCAUAUCCCAGCCAGAGGGAGCGGAAGGGAACUCAGGCCUCAUCAGCGGCGCCCCCGGGGCCCAGGCAAAACACAUUCCUAAAGGGCUCAGACUGGGAGUCUGGGAAUAAAGAGAUGGAAAAGUCCCUGAUCUCAGGGCGGCACUGUCGGCCGAGUGUCAGUCCAUCCUCUUUUGUGGGCCCCGCCAUCCUGGACACCAGACUGAGGCGUGGCCAGCGUGCGGUUAGGCCUGUCCUCAAAGGAAGCUGUCUUGGCAGUGGAUGAGAGAAGUUCUGGCAAAACCCAGACUUGGUGCCCUCCCUUAAGUCUUAAAUGGGACUUCUUAUGUGAUGAUUUAGUAGCUAAUCCACUCAGCUGAGACCCUGGGCCUGCUGGGUGCCUGGAGGGAAGGCAAGCAAGGAGGAUCUUGGUUUUGGCCACUCGGCCCAAGUUCAAUGACCCCUGGGAGAUUGUGCAACAGACACAUAACAGGCCCACCCACAGGUCUCUCCAGCACACCGCCCCGAGAGGUCCUCCCACAUCUUUGCUUUGUUUGGUCUCAGCCCUGCGAUUCCACUUUCCAAAUGCCUCGAGCCCACCGUGUGACUGCUCUUCCCGUAGGACCACAUGCCUUGGCCAGCACACAGAACACCCCCCUGCGCUUUCUGCCCUGGGUUUCCUGGUCUCACUGCUGCCUGUGUCCUGUGAAACAGCACAGGGAUAGAUGGCGUCCGCACCAGCUUCUCGCCAGUCGUACAGCGAGGAGCUGACAGGGAGGCCCAGGGGCAGGGGCCACUGUCCCAAACACAGCCACGGGGUGUGAACACCUUGCAACUCAGGAAUCACCUCCCCGAUGAAGCCAGGCCUGCGGGGGCGGGCGUGGGGCUGGAGGAUGAGCCUGACAGGGCAGGUUCCCCGCCUCUGACGCUCCUGGUCCUUGGGCUGAGGCUGGCACACAGCGAAGGAACGAGCCCACAGCUCUGGGGACACCUUCAGCGCCACACAAGCAAGUCAGCACAAGGGAAGCAGGUCUUCACCGGGAGCAGGAGGUCAGGGAGGUUCAAGGACAAGGGUGGCAUCCGAGUGACCCUUGCAGGGAUGUGGACGUGAGCGCCAAGAGUCCAGCGAAGGGAAAGACGGCUGUGGCGUUGGGCCGCGCGCAGCGGCCCGCGUCCCUGUCCUGCCGCGCUCUCUGGGUCUUCCUGUCCUCCUCUGUCUCUGUCUCUCUCCUCCUCCCUCUCGGCCCUCUCUUUGUACAUCUGCCCAGUGUCACCAGCUGACUUGCUCUGCGUUCCCCGGUUUCGCACCCCCAGCAGCCUGCCGGGCCACGCCCAGUGCCCAGGGCCUGGAGUCCUUCCCUGGUGCCCCUCUAGCUACAGGACACCGCCUGCCAGGGAACCCAGGGAAACGAGUGACUGCCAGCUGUACUCUAGCCAGGGUCCUAAACUCAAGAGAAUUAGGACUUCAGAGAGAAUCUAAUCCAACACUUACUAGAAAACUAUUAAGGUAUAAUUUACAUACAGUCAGAUGCAUACAGCUUCGGGGGCAGGGUAGAGCUCAGUGGUGGAGCACGUGUUUAGUAGACACCAGGUCCUGGGUUCAAUCCCCAGUGCCUCUAUUAAGAAAAAAUAAUAAAUAAGUAAAUAAAUAAACUUAAUUACUCCCCCCCAAAAUAAACAAGGAUAAAAUACUAAGCUUAGGGAAAAUAAGUUACAUAAAGAUGCACGCAGCUUCAGUGUAUGGCUUGAUGGCUUUUACAUAUGAGCACAUGCAUGUCACUACCAUCCAGAUCGAGACAUGAAACAUAUCUAGCUCCUCGGAAAGCUCCUUCAUGUCCUUCCCAGUUAGCUCCCACCUUUCUGAGAGCAACCACUAUUCUGAAUCUUUCAUAGUUUUGUUAACCCAUCCCAGAAAUUCCUUUAAGUGGAAUCAUACAAUAUGUAUCUUUUGAAUCUGGCUUAUUCUGCUCAGCAGAAUGUCUAUGAGAGUCGUCUAUAUUGCUGUAUGUAAUAGCAGUUCACUCCUUUUGUCUUUGAGUUGCUGAGAAGUAUUCUGUUACAUGUAUGGAUAUAUCGCAAUAGGUUUAUUUAUUCACCAGUGGAUGGACAUUUAGGUUGUUUCCAGUUUUUAGCUGUUAUGAAUAAAGAUGCU
Molecule: long non-coding RNA, 3873 nt
Organism: Camelus dromedarius (Arabian camel)
Lineage: Eukaryota; Metazoa; Chordata; Mammalia; Artiodactyla; Camelidae
Exons: 3
Source: RefSeq, a predicted model, not a curated record